RNAcentral lists this ribosomal RNA (253 nucleotides) under uncultured bacterium. Its description in RNAcentral is "partial 16S ribosomal RNA". It matches the Rfam family "Bacterial small subunit ribosomal RNA", at positions 524 to 776 of the family's 1533-position model. RNAcentral also lists the same sequence under 1 other name. The record is from RNAcentral.
UACGUAGGUGGCAAGCGUUGUCCGGAAUUAUUGGGCGUAAAGCGCGCGCAGGUGGUUUCUUAAGUCUGAUGUGAAAGCCCACGGCUCAACCGUGGAGGGUCAUUGGAAACUGGGAGACUUGAGUGCAGAAGAGGAUAGUGGAAUUCCAAGUGUAGCGGUGAAAUGCGUAGAGAUUUGGAGGAACACCAGUGGCGAAGGCGACUAUCUGGUCUGUAACUGACACUGAGGCGCGAAAGCGUGGGGAGCAAACAGG